UGCCAGAAGUACCUUUUGUAGAAAGGUUACUAACCUGCGACAGAUGAAAGUUAAAAGAACACGCUGUAGCGAUGGUCUUGUAUACCUGUCUGCGUGGCGCCUCUCAAGAAAAGAAAAAUCCAAACCUGCGUAUACACCUGUCACGGGCUGUGCUCCCUUCCCAAAGCCAAAGGGGGGAGUGCUCCUGUGCUGCACCAUGAGUGUGGGGGGUCGGACACAAAGCGUAUUUACCCCGUACUGGCAACCCGGGGUAGUGGCAGUUCGCAAAAGAAGAUGAUCACUGCUGUCUGGAACUGGUCUGCUGUGGACGAAUUGAAGAGGCAAGUGAAUGCAGUAUUUUAUGCCGGCUUUGGAUGGGUUUUCUACCUGGACUUCUUUGUGUCUGACUUCCAUGUCUGCCCAUACGUCCGUUUGGAGAACAGCUUACAGCAGCAGAGCAGCCAGGAAGCAGAGCAAGAAUACUUCCCACAAAUGAGUGCAUCCUUGCCAGCGUUUAACACACAGGCACUUUCAAACCACUUUAUGGAUUUAAGAAUCCAGCAUCCAAAAGCUUUAAGACACCAUUGCUUGAGAAGCUUUCAACAUCCUCAAAGGCAUCUAAUUGUUCAGGACAUACUGAGUAUCUGCACUUACAGAAAUCAAGCCUCAAGUGGAACUCCCCUGAAAGCAAGGCACCGGGAAGCCAAGAUUAGUUUUCAGAAAUCCCUCAAGACCACGUCACAAACGCACGUCUCUCCAUCACACCUGCCGUACAGUGUGAUUGCUCGUUCCUGCCCUAUCUGCUUGUUACAGAAGGGUGGGCUCAGACCUGGUUUCACACUGGCACAGCAAAUUGUGGCACAGCCCUUUGGGAUCUCAAGAAAAUGA
This 867-nucleotide long non-coding RNA is filed under the name Anser brachyrhynchus (Pink-footed goose). RNAcentral describes it as "lncRNA (ENSABRG00000011687.1)". Lineage: Eukaryota; Metazoa; Chordata; Aves; Anseriformes; Anatidae. The record is from RNAcentral.